Molecule: ribosomal RNA, 248 nt
Filed under: uncultured Gardnerella sp.
Lineage: Bacteria; Bacillati; Actinomycetota; Actinomycetes; Bifidobacteriales; Bifidobacteriaceae
Description: partial 16S ribosomal RNA
Rfam family: Bacterial small subunit ribosomal RNA
Source: RNAcentral
UAGAGUAAUGCGUGACCAACCUGCCCCAUGCUCCAGAAUAGCUCUUGGAAACGGGUGGUAAUGCUGGAUGCUCCAACUUGACGCAUGUCUUGUUGGGAAAGUGUUUAGUGGCAUGGGAUGGGGUCGCGUCCUAUCAGCUUGUAGGCGGGGUAAUGGCCCACCUAGGCUUCGACGGGUAGCCGGCCUGAGAGGGCGGACGGCCACAUUGGGACUGAGAUACGGCCCAGACUCCUAGGGAGGCAGCAGCA